GCCUUCUGGACAGUACUGACGCUGAGAUGCGAAAGCGUGGGGAGCAAACAGGAUUAGAUACCUGGUAGUCACGCUGUAAACGAUGUCGAUUUGGAGUUUGUUGCCUAGAGUGAUGGGCUCCGAAGCUAACGCGAUAAAUCGACCGCUGGGGAGUACGGCCGCAAGGUUAAAACUCAAAUGAAUUGACGGGGGCCCGCACAAGCGGUGGAGCAUGUGGUUUAACUCGAUGCAACGCGAAGAACCUUACCUGGUCUUGACAUCCAUAGAAUUCUGCAGAGAUGUGGGAGUGCCUUCGGGAACUAUGAGACAGGUGCUGCAUGGCUGUCGUCAGCUCGUGUUGUGAAAUGUUGGGUUAAGUCCCGCAACGAGCGCAACCCUUAUUCUUUGUUGCCAGCGAUUUGGUCGGGAACUCAAAGGAGACUGCCGUUGAUAAAGCGGAGGAAGGUGGGGACGACGUCAAGUCAUCAUGGCCCUUACGACCAGGGCUACACACGUGCUACAAUGGCGUAUACAAAGGGAAGCGAAGGUGCGAGCUGGAGCGGAUCUCAUAAAGUACGUCUAAGUUCGGAUUGGAGUCUGCAACUCGACUCCAUGAAGUCGGAAUCGCUAGUAAUCGUAGAUCAGAAUGCUACGGUGAAUACGUUCCCGGGCCUUGUACACACCGCCCGUCACACCAUGGGAGUGGGUUGCACCAGAAGUAGAUAGCUUAACCGCGAGGGGGGCGUUUACCACGGUGUGAUUCAUGACUGGGGUGAAGUCGUAACAAGGUAACCA
RNAcentral lists this ribosomal RNA (774 nucleotides) under uncultured Providencia sp. RNAcentral's name for it is "bacterial SSU rRNA". It matches the Rfam family "Bacterial small subunit ribosomal RNA", at positions 724 to 1502 of the family's 1533-position model. Lineage: Bacteria; Pseudomonadati; Pseudomonadota; Gammaproteobacteria; Enterobacterales; Morganellaceae. The record is from RNAcentral.